Molecule: microRNA precursor, 91 nt
Filed under: Canis lupus familiaris (dog)
Lineage: Eukaryota; Metazoa; Chordata; Mammalia; Carnivora; Canidae
Description: miRNA (ENSCAFG00000052632.1)
Source: RNAcentral
UGGCUCCAGACCAGGCUGUUGUUGUUCUCAACGUGGUCCGCCACGGAGCUAUAAAAGCGGAGCGCAGCGCCCUCCUCGCCAGAGCGCAGCG